CCUCUUCGAUCUGCUGCGGGCAGAUGAAAUGGAUAUGGCUGUCCAUGCCACCGGCCGUGACGAUCUUGCCCUCGCCGGCGAUCGCCUCGGUGCCCGGGCCGACGAUGAUAUUCACGCCAGGCUGCGUAUCCGGAUUGCCGGCCUUGCCGAUCGCGACGAUCCGCCCGUCCUUGAGGCCGAUAUCCGCCUUGACGAUCCCCCAAUGGUCGACGAUCAGCGCAUUGGUGAUCACCGUAUCGACCGCGCCGCCCUCGCGCGUCACCUGGCUCUGGCCCAUGCCGUCGCGAAUG
Molecule: non-coding RNA, 290 nt
Organism: Sinorhizobium fredii GR64
Lineage: Bacteria; Pseudomonadati; Pseudomonadota; Alphaproteobacteria; Hyphomicrobiales; Rhizobiaceae
Source: Rfam